GGCCUACCAUGGUGGUAACGGGUAACGGGGUGUUAGGGCACGACACCGGAGAGGGAGCCUGAGAAACGGCUACCACAUCCAAGGAUGGCAGCAGGCGCGCAAAUUACCCAAUCCCGACACGGGGAGGUAGUGACAAUAAAUAACAAUACGGGGUCCUUUAGGGUUUCGUAAUUGGAAUGAGUACAAUUUAAAUCUCUUAACGAGGAACAAUUGGAGGGCAAGUCUGGUGCCAGCAGCCGCGGUAAUUCCAGCUCCAAUAGCGUAUAUUAAAGUUGUUGCAGUUAAAAAGCUCGUAGUUGAAUUUCGGGAUCAGUACGCUGGUCAUGCCUUUGGUAUGUACUGGUGUUACUGGUUCCUACCUUCUGACGAACCGUCAUGUCAUUAAUUUGGUGUGGCGGGAAAUCAGGACUGUUACUUUGAAAAAAUUAGAGUGUUUAAAGCAGGCUCGCGCUUGAAUACAUUAGCAUGGAAUAAUGAAAUAGGACGUUCGAUCCUAUUUUGUUGGUUUCUAGGAUUGACGUAAUGAUUAAUAGGGAUAGUUGGGGGCAUUAGUAUUCAAUUGUCAGAGGUGAAAUUCUUGGAUUUAUUGAAGACUAACUACUGCGAAAGCAUUUGCCAAGGAUGUUUUCAUUAAUCAAGAACGAAAGUUAGGGGAUCGAAGACGAUCAGAUACCGUCGUAGUCUUAACCAUAAACUAUGCCGACUAGGGAUCGGAUGAUGUUAAUUUUUUAAUGACUCAUUCGGCGCCUUACG
This 753-nucleotide ribosomal RNA is filed under the name uncultured Glomus. Its description in RNAcentral is "SSU rRNA". It matches the Rfam family "Eukaryotic small subunit ribosomal RNA", at positions 338 to 1092 of the family's 1831-position model. Lineage: Eukaryota; Fungi; Glomeromycota; Glomeromycetes; Glomerales; Glomeraceae. The record is from RNAcentral.